This 162-nucleotide ribosomal RNA is filed under the name uncultured bacterium. RNAcentral describes it as "partial 16S rRNA". It matches the Rfam family "Bacterial small subunit ribosomal RNA", at positions 355 to 509 of the family's 1533-position model. The record is from RNAcentral.
UAGGGAAUCUUCCACAAUGGACGAAAGUCUGAUGGAGCAACGCCGCGUGAGUGAAGAAGGUUUUCGGAUCGUAAAGCUCUGUUGUUGGUGAAGAAGGAUAGAGGCAGUAACUGGUCUUUAUUUGACGGUAAUCAACCAGAAAGUCACGGCUAACUACGUGCC